GACGAACGCUGGCGGCGUGCUUAACACAUGCAAGUCGAACGAAGAGCGAUGGAAGCUUGCUUCUAUCACUCUUAGUGGCGAACGGGUGAGUAACGCGUAAUCAACCUGCCCUUCAGAGGGGGACAACAGUUGGAAACGACUGCUAAUACCGCAUACGAUCUAAUCUCGGCAUCGAGGAAAGAUGAAAGGUGGCCUCUAUUUAUAAGCUAUCACUGAAGGAGGGGAUUGCGUCUGAUUAGCUAGUUGGAGGGGUAACGGCCCACCAAGGCGAUGAUCAGUAGCCGGUCUGCGAGGAUGAACGGCCACAUUGGGACUGAGACACGGCCCAGACUCCUACGGGAGGCAGCAGUGGGGAAUCUUCCGCAAUAGACGAAAGUCUGACGGAGCAACGCCGCGUGAGUGAUGACGGCCUUCGGGUUGUAAAGCUCUGUUAAUCGGGACGAAAGGCCUUCUUGCGAACAGUUAGAAGGAUUGACGGUACCGGAAUAGAGAGCCACGGCUAACUACGUG
This 510-nucleotide ribosomal RNA is filed under the name uncultured bacterium. Its description in RNAcentral is "partial 16S ribosomal RNA". It matches the Rfam family "Bacterial small subunit ribosomal RNA", at positions 28 to 507 of the family's 1533-position model. The record is from RNAcentral.